Molecule: long non-coding RNA, 280 nt
Filed under: Erythranthe guttata (spotted monkey flower)
Lineage: Eukaryota; Viridiplantae; Streptophyta; Magnoliopsida; Lamiales; Phrymaceae
Description: long non-coding RNA (EGUT_LNC003114)
Source: RNAcentral
GCAAGAUAUCUGUAAGCGAGUAUACGAAGUGCAGCUAUCAUCUUGACAUGGGAUGGAAAACCUUGCUUUCCCAAGGCAACCGGCUUUUGCUUAAAGUAAUCAUCAAAAAAUGCGCGAUAUCAUUCAUAAUUCGUAAAAAUAAUUCACGCCUCAUACGAUUUCUAGUUCGAAAAUCUUCAGGAGGAUAUAAAGGACGAUCUACAAAGUUAUCAUUCAUAAGUUCGUCAUGCGCAACUAUUCGGUCCUUUCUUAUGGAAUUCCGACGUGAUGAUGUUCUUCC